CAAGUCGAGCGGGGUGAUGUAGCUUGCUACAUUACCUAGCGGCGGACGGGUGAGUAAUGCUUAGGAAUCUGCCUAUUAGUGGGGAACAACAUUCCGAAAGGAAUGCUAAUACCGCAUACGCCCUACGGGGGAAAGCAGGGGAUCUUCGGACCUUGCGCUAAUAGAUGAGCCUAAGUCAGAUUAGCUAGUUGGUGGGGUAAAGGCCUACCAAGGCGACGAUCUGUAGCGGGUCUGAGAGGAUGAUCCGCCACACUGGGACUGAGACACGGCCCAGACUCCUACGGGAGGCAGCAGUGGGGAAUAUUGGACAAUGGGCGAAAGCCUGAUCCAGCCAUGCCGCGUGUGUGAAGAAGGCCUUUUGGUUGUAAAGCACUUUAAGCGAGGAGGAGGCUACUUAGAUUAAUACUCUAGGAUAGUGGACGUUACUCGCAGAAUAAGCUCCGGCUAACUCUGUGCCAGCAGCCGCGGUAAUACAGAGGGUGCGAGCGUUAAUCGGAUUUACUGGGCGUAAAGCGUGCGUAGGCGGCUUUUUAAGUCGGAUGUGAAAUCCCUGAGCUUAACUUAGGAAUUGCAUUCGAUACUGGGAAGCUAGAGUAUGGGAGAGGAUGGUAGAGUUCCAGGUGUAGCGGUGAAAUGCGUAGAGAUCUGGAGGAAUACCGAUGGCGAAGGCAGCCAUCUGGCCUAAUACUGACGCUGAGGUACGAAAGCAUGGGGAGCAAACAGGAUUAGAUACCCUGGUAGUCCAUGCCGUAAACGAUGUCUACUAGCCGUUGGGGCCUUUGAGGCUUUAGUGGCGCAGCUAACGCGAUAAGUAGACCGCCUGGGGAGUACGGUCGCAAGACUAAAACUCAAAUGAAUUGACGGG
Molecule: ribosomal RNA, 865 nt
Filed under: uncultured bacterium
Lineage: Bacteria
Description: bacterial SSU rRNA
Rfam family: Bacterial small subunit ribosomal RNA
Source: RNAcentral